Macaca fascicularis (crab-eating macaque) is the source of this 148-nucleotide unclassified non-coding RNA. It matches the Rfam family "Metazoan signal recognition particle RNA". Rfam says of the family: The signal recognition particle (SRP) is a universally conserved ribonucleoprotein. It is involved in the co-translational targeting of proteins to membranes. NCBI's taxonomy places the organism in Eukaryota, Metazoa, Chordata, Mammalia, Primates, Cercopithecidae. The record is from Ensembl.
GCUGGGCGUGGUGGUGUGCGCCUGUAAUCCCAGCCACUUGGGAGGCUGAGGCAGGAGAAUCACUUGAACCUGGGAGGUGGAGGUUGCAGUGAGCCAAGAUCGCAUUACUGCACUCCAGCCUGGGCAACAGAGUGAGACCCUGUCUCAA